UUUGAUAGCCCAUUACACCCGCUAUCCGCCCGGGUACUACGAACACUAGCUUAAAACCCAAAGGACUUGGCGGUGCUUUAGAUCCACCUAGAGGAGCCUGUUCUAGAACCGAUAACCCCCGUUAAACCUCACCCUCUCUUGUUCUUCCCGCCUAUAUACCGCCGUCGUCAGCUUACCCUGUGAAGGAAUCACAGUAAGCAAAACUAGUACAACUCAAAACGCCAGGUCGAGGUGUAGCAUAUGAGAGGGGAAGAAAUGGGCUACAUUCCCUACCGCAGGGAAUACGAACAAUGCAAUGAAACAUACAUUAGAAGGAGGAUUUAGCAGUAAGCAGAAAAUAGAGCG
This 345-nucleotide ribosomal RNA is filed under the name Sarotherodon caudomarginatus. RNAcentral's name for it is "partial 12S ribosomal RNA". It matches the Rfam family "Bacterial small subunit ribosomal RNA", at positions 801 to 1356 of the family's 1533-position model. The record is from RNAcentral. Lineage: Eukaryota; Metazoa; Chordata; Actinopteri; Cichliformes; Cichlidae.